GAUGAACGCUGGCGGCGUGCCUAAUACAUGCAAGUCGAACGCAUUGUGGUUGAAAUGAUAUGAAGAACUUGUUCAGAUUUGAUUUUCAACAUUGCAAUGAGUGGCGAACGGGUGAGUAACACGUGGGAAACCUACCUCUUAGCAGGGGAUAACAUUUGGAAACAAAUGCUAAUACCGUAUAAUAAUUAAAACCGCAUGGUUUUAGUUUAAAAGAUGGUCUUGCUAUCACUAAGAGAUGGUCCCGCGGUGUAUUAGUUAGUUGGUGAGGUAAUGGCUCACCAAGACAAUGAUACAUAGCCGAGUUGAGAGACUGACCGGCCACAAUGGGACUGAGACACGGCCCAUACUCCUACGGGAGCAGCAGUAGGAAGUCUUCCACAAUGGACGAAAGUCUGAUGGAGCAACGCCGCGUGUGUGAUGAAGGUUUCGGCUCGUAAAACACUAGUUGUAAGAGAAGAAUGACAUUGAGAGUAACUGUUCAAUGUGUGACGGUAU
RNAcentral lists this ribosomal RNA (495 nucleotides) under uncultured bacterium. RNAcentral describes it as "bacterial SSU rRNA". It matches the Rfam family "Bacterial small subunit ribosomal RNA", at positions 28 to 478 of the family's 1533-position model. The record is from RNAcentral.